This 733-nucleotide ribosomal RNA is filed under the name uncultured archaeon. RNAcentral describes it as "bacterial SSU rRNA". It matches the Rfam family "Archaeal small subunit ribosomal RNA", at positions 102 to 835 of the family's 1478-position model. The record is from RNAcentral.
GGAUAAUCUACCCUUAGGACCGGGAUAACCCUGGGAAACUGGGGCUAAUACUGGAUAGGCAAUUUUUCCUGCAAUGGUUUUUUGUUUAAAUGUUUUUUCGCCUAAGGAUGAGUCUGCGGCCGAUUAGGUAGUUGGUUAGGUAAUGGCUUACCAAGCCGUUGAUCGGUACGGGUUGUGAGAGCAAGAGCCCGGAGAUGGAACCUGAGACAAGGUUCCAGGCCCUACGGGGUGCAGCAGGCGCGAAACCUCCGCAAUGUGAGAAAUCGCGACGGGGGGAUCCCAAGUGCCAUUCUUAACGGGAUGGCUUUUCAUUAGUGUAAAGAGCUUUUGGAAUAAGAGCUGGGCAAGACCGGUGCCAGCCGCCGCGGUAACACCGGCAGCUCUAGUGGUAACAAUUUUUAUUGGGCCUAAAGCGUCCGUAGCCGGUUUAAUAAGUCUCUGGUGAAAUCCUGUAGCUUAACUGUGGGAAUUGCUGGAGAUACUAUUAGACUUGAGACCGGGAGAGGUUAGAGGUACUCCCAGGGUAGAGGUGAAAUUCUGUAAUCCUGGGAGGACCGCCUGUUGCGAAGGCGUCUAACUGGAACGGUUCUGACGGUGAGGGACGAAAGUUAGGGGCGCGAACCGGAUUAGAUACCCGGGUAGUCCUAACUGUAAACGAUGCGGACUUGGUGUUGGGGUGGCUUUGAGCUGCUCCAGUGCCGAAGGGAAGCUGUUAAGUCCGCCGCCUGGGAAG